Molecule: long non-coding RNA, 1433 nt
Filed under: Panax ginseng (ginseng)
Lineage: Eukaryota; Viridiplantae; Streptophyta; Magnoliopsida; Apiales; Araliaceae
Description: long non-coding RNA (PGIN_LNC000131)
Source: RNAcentral
AAAAAUUAAACUCUUUCAUAUAUAAAUAAAUAAAUCUCAUCCAUUUUCCCUUCUACACAUCUUCAUCCCGCUUAUUCCCUCUCCGAUUCGGUGAUUUCCUCCGUUAGUUUUCGCUUCAGGUACUUUCUCUCUCACACACAAAACACACACUGAGAAUUUUAGUACGUUUAAACUGAUUGAUACUGUUUGAUCCUUAAUUCCUUUAGUUUUGUUUAUUUUUACACAAUAUUGGACUUAGAUCUACGGUUUCUGAUCUGAUCUACAUUUUAGUUCGUGAUCACUCUCGCAUCUAGGUUGAGAUCCGAAUAACUACGACUAUAAUUUUGGCUAGGGUUGAAAUCUAUCCGAAUUUACGUUGUUUAGAUCUAAUAUUUUUUCAAAUUUGUAUCAUUGUAUGUGUAACUGUAGUUAAUUGAAUUGCACUGUUCUUUGAUAAUAGUUUGGGGAUCUUUUUUCUUGUAUUUUGCAAUAUUCAACUGUUUUAAUUUUUGUAGGUGUCUAAUUUUUAAGCUGGUCGGAUGCUUUUGAAUUAGUAGCUGUUGGGUUUAAUUGGAUCAAGAUGGUAAUUUGAUUGUUCCUUUAGUAUUUGAUGAAUUCAAGUGGCAAUCUGUUACAAGUAGUUUUGCGAUCUUUAUUUUAUUUUGAAGAUAAAUGUUUUAUUGACCGUAAUUUUAUUUUGUAUAGGUUGUUCUUGCAGCUUCCAUUAUAAGUAAAUCUGGGAAAGGUUAGUUACCUACAUUUUAUUUUAUAUUUUUUCUUGACAAAUAUAACUUAUAUCUUAUAUUUUUUCUACAUCUAGUUUUUUCAUGUGAAAAUGAUUCGCAUGUAUUGAUCUAUUGUAAUUUACAAGUGAGAAAACAAUGAAAAUUAAAAGAAGAACUCUUCUAUGGGUUCAUGGAUUUUAUGGGUGGCCUUUGUGUUGAUCUGCUAGAUGUAACUGUAGUAACACAACAUUUUUAGUGAUUGCUGAAUGACAUUUUAAGAAUUACCUCCAGGUGUAUUAUCGCUCAUCAUGUGACCACUUAAGGUUAUGAUGAACUAGCUUCCGCUUUUGGGAAAGAAGGCACCUUACAGGAAAAAACGAUGUGGAAAAUAGGGCAAGGAUUCUCUACUUAGAAAUGCCAGUCAUAUAACACUAUCCGUGCAAUUUUCCUUCUGGCCGGAUUAUUUUGUUGUGUAGUUCUAGUACAUGUUCAUGGAUUAUAAAUAAUAUAAUAGCAAUCAAUACGAAUUCAUGUGUAAUUGCAGGAAGAUUUGAUGGUGAGCAUGUUGGAGAAGUGCAAUCAUUCUCUCCCUGUAGUUAAGAGACGAAAUUAUGAAGUGUACUCUCUCUCUAUUUGUAGAUAUAUACUUUGAUUGAAGAACUGUGGUAACUUUAGAUGGUUAAUUGUAAAGAUAAUGAAUGAUUAUGUAGUGGAUGAUUUUAUUAAGUU